UUGAGUUUGGAUCAUGGCUCAGAUUGAACGCUGGCGGCAGGCCUAACACAUGCAAGUCGAGCGGUAACAGGAAGGAAGCUUGCUUUCUUUGCUGACGAGCGGCGGACGGGUGAGUAAUGCCUGGGAAAUUGCCCUGAUGUGGGGGAUAACCAUUGGAAACGAUGGCUAAUACCGCAUGAUGCCUACGGGCCAAAGAGGGGGACCUUCGGGCCUCUCGCGUCAGGAUAUGCCCAGGUGGGAUUAGCUAGUUGGUGAGGUAAUGGCUCACCAAGGCGACGAUCCCUAGCUGGUCUGAGAGGAUGAUCAGCCACACUGGAACUGAGACACGGUCCAGACUCCUACGGGAGGCAGCAGUGGGGAAUAUUGCACAAUGGGCGCAAGCCUGAUGCAGCCAUGCCGCGUGUAUGAAGAAGGCCUUCGGGUUGUAAAGUACUUUCAGUGGUGAGGAAGGGAGUGUGGUUAAUAGCCAUAUUCUUGACGUAGCCACAGAGAG
Molecule: ribosomal RNA, 493 nt
Filed under: Vibrio sp. M2-C8
Lineage: Bacteria; Pseudomonadati; Pseudomonadota; Gammaproteobacteria; Vibrionales; Vibrionaceae
Description: bacterial SSU rRNA
Rfam family: Bacterial small subunit ribosomal RNA
Source: RNAcentral